UACGAAGGGGACUAGCGUUGUUCGGAUUUACUGGGCGUAAAGCGUGCGCAGGCGGCUUUGCAAGACAGAUGUGAAAUCCCCGGGCUUAACCUGGGAACUGCAUUUGUGACUGCAUGGCUAGAGUGCGGCAGAGGGGGAUGGAAUUCCGCGUGUAGCAGUGAAAUGCGUAGAUAUGCGGAGGAACACCGAUGGCGAAGGCAAUCCCCUGGGCCUGCACUGACGCUCAUGCACGAAAGCGUGGGGAGCAAACAGG
RNAcentral lists this ribosomal RNA (253 nucleotides) under uncultured bacterium. RNAcentral's name for it is "partial 16S ribosomal RNA". It matches the Rfam family "Bacterial small subunit ribosomal RNA", at positions 524 to 776 of the family's 1533-position model. The record is from RNAcentral.